GGCCGCGGGAAUUCGAUUUCUGGUUGAUCCUGCCAGACCCGACUGCUAUCAGAGUGGGACUAAGCCAUGCGAGUCAACGUAGUAAUACGUGGCAUACGGCUCAGUAACACGUAGUCAACAUGCCCAGGGGACGUGGAUAACCUCGGGAAACUGAGGAUAAACCGCGAUAGGCCAUAAUUCCUGGAAUGGUUUAUGACUGAAACCUACAUGGCCCCUGGAUUGGACUGCGGCCGAUCAGGCUGUUGGUGAGGUAAUGGCCCACCAAACCUGUAACCGGUACGGGCUCUGAGAGGAGAAGCCCGGAGAUGGGCACUGAGACAAGGGCCCAGGCCCUAUGGGGCGCAGCAGGCGCGAAACCUCUGCAAUAGGCGAAAGCCUGACAGGGUUACUCUGAGUGGUUCCCGCUAAGGGGAUCUUUUGGCACCUCUAAAAAUGGUGCAGAAUAAGGGGUGGGCAAGCCUGGUGUCAGCCGCCGCGGUAAUACCAGCACCCCGAGUGGUCGGGACGAUUAUUGGGCCUAAAGCAUCCGUAGCCGGUCAUGCAAGUCUUCCGUUAAAUCCACCCGCUCAACGGUUGGGCUGAGGAGGAUACUACGUGGCUAGGAGGCGGGAGAGGCAAGCGGUACUCAGUGGGUAGGGGUAAAAUCCUUUGAUCCAUUGAAGACCACCAGUGGCGAAGGCGGCUUGCCAGAACGCGCUUGACGGUGAGGGAUGAAAGCUGGGGGAGCAAACCGGAUUAGAUACCCGGGUAGUCCCAGCUGUAAACGAUGCAGACUCGGUGAUGGGAUGGCCUCGAGCUAUCCCAGUGCCGCAGGGAAGCCGUUAAGUCUGCCGCCUGGGGAGUACGGUCGCAAGACUGAAACUUAAAGGAAUUGGCGGGGGAGCACCACAAGGGGUGAAGCCUGCGGUUCAAUUGGAUUCAACGCCGGGAAUCACUAGUGAAUUC
Molecule: ribosomal RNA, 945 nt
Filed under: uncultured archaeon
Lineage: Archaea
Description: bacterial SSU rRNA
Rfam family: Archaeal small subunit ribosomal RNA
Source: RNAcentral